This 87-nucleotide transfer RNA is filed under the name Flavobacteriales bacterium. Its description in RNAcentral is "tRNA-Ser". It matches the Rfam family "tRNA". Rfam says of the family: Transfer RNA (tRNA) molecules are approximately 80 nucleotides in length. Their secondary structure includes four short double-helical elements and three loops (D, anti-codon, and T loops). Further hydrogen bonds mediate the characteristic L-shaped molecular structure. tRNAs have two regions of fundamental functional importance: the anti-codon, which is responsible for specific mRNA codon recognition, and the 3' end, to which the tRNAs corresponding amino acid is attached (by aminoacyl-tRNA synthetases). tRNAs cope with the degeneracy of the genetic code in two manners: having more than one tRNA (with a specific anti-codon) for a particular amino acid; and 'wobble' base-pairing, i.e. permitting non-standard base-pairing at the 3rd anti-codon position. The record is from RNAcentral. Lineage: Bacteria; Pseudomonadati; Bacteroidota; Flavobacteriia; Flavobacteriales.
GGAGAGGUGGCAGAGCGGUCGAAUGCGGCGGUCUUGAAAACCGUUGUGCCCGCAAGGGUACCGGGGGUUCGAAUCCCUCCCUCUCCG